GGGACGGGACGCCUUAAAGGGACCGCAGAGAAGCCGCGAAGGGCUUGUUGCUUUGCCACACACUUUUGCUGAAAGACGUGCUUUUAAAAACAACGCCCCACCCCACGUGCAAAUAAUAAGCCUUGCUGGGGAGCAGCAAAACAAUCCCUUGAUCAUAGCAGGGUCCCAGACUAGAAUAGAUGUGUACAGCUCUGGGGACUCUGCUUCUGGUGUCCAUGCAUGCAAACUUCUGAGUUAUACAGAACCCUUGAUACACCAAGAGACACUCUUGUGAAAGCUGCGGUCAGCCAACAUGGCUUGGACAACCAACCCAACGCAACCGAACUUCUUGGAGCUCUUUAUCAUAUCGUGAGAGAUUUGGGUUGGGUUUUUUUGGAAGGUGGGGUGAAGGAAAAAUGGAGACAGAUUUGUGUUUCUAAUCCAAAUGUACUUCUCUUUAUUCAAACCAGGGGAAAUCACUGGUCAGUGCGAAAUGCACCCCAAAAAUGUUUUUUGCCUGAGGGAAAUCUACAUCUUCGCAAGGCCUCCAUUAAACCCCUAAUGAAAUCCAGAUCCCAAAAAGAUUUUUAAUUUUUAAAGAAUCUCUAGCCCAGAUUUGAAGGCUGUGCUUCGAAAGAGACCCUGGGCACCACUGAAACCAUUCUACACCCCUUCCAUUAUCAGCUUGGAAACCAAUAACAAAAAGACCCAAAUGUACUUCUCUAAUCCAAAUGUACUUCUCUUUAUUCAAACCAGGGGAAAUCACUGGUCAGUGCGAAAUGCACCCAAAAAAUGUUUUUUGCCUGAGGGAAAUCUACAUCUUCGCAAGGCCUCCAUUAAACCCCUAAUGAAAUCCAGAUCCCAAAAAGAUUUUUAAUUUUUAAAGAAUCUCUAGCCCAGAUUUGAAGGCUGUGCUUCGAAAGAGACCCUGGGCACCACUGAAACCAUUCUACACCCCUUCCAUUAUCAGCUUGGAAACCAAUAACAAAAAGACCCACGCACACAGUAGAUUCCUUUCCCCACCCACCCUCUCUUUUUUUAAACUCCCAGAGUUUCUGGACCAACCACAACAAAGGAGGUUGGAAGCUGACCCUCUUCUAUGCACUGCUAACAGAAACCCUGGGUUGGUUUUUUUUUUUUUCCUUUUUAAAUUAAAAAAUAAGCGAGCAUACAUAGUAGAAAAUUUCUCUUAAAAAU
Molecule: long non-coding RNA, 1176 nt
Organism: Hemicordylus capensis (graceful crag lizard)
Lineage: Eukaryota; Metazoa; Chordata; Lepidosauria; Squamata; Cordylidae
Exons: 2
Source: RefSeq, a predicted model, not a curated record